UGAGUACGAGAUGCUACGGCAUUGAAGCAGUCUAUGUCAUACUUCCAAGAAAAGCUUGCACUGUCAUAAACAAAUAAUGCCUGUACCAUAACCGACACAGGUGGGUAGGUAGAGUAUACUAAGGGGCGCGAGAUAACUCUCUCUAAGGAACUCGGCAAAAUGACUCCGUAACUUCGGGAGAAGGAGUGCCUUAUUUAUAAGGUUGCAAUAACAAGAUCCAAGCAACUGUUUAUCAAAAACACAGGUCUCCGCUAAGUCGUAAGACGAUGUAUGGGGGCUGACGCCUGCCCAGUGCCAGAAGGUUAAAGAAGUUGGUUAGCAUUUGCGAAGCUGAUAACUGAAGCCCUGGUGAACGGCGGCCGUAACAAUAACGGUCCUAAGGUAGCGAAAUUCCUUGUCGGGUAAGUUCCGACCCGCACGAAAGGCGUAAUGAUUUGGAUGCUGUCUCGGAGAGGGACUCGGUGAAAUAGACUUGUCUGUGAAGAUGCGGACUACCUGCACCUGGACAGAAAGACCCUAUGAGGCUUUACUGUACCUUGAAAUUGAAAUUGGACUUUAUUUGCGCAGUAUAGGUGGGAGGCAUAGAAAACAUUCUUGCGGGAGUGUUGGAGCCAUCAGUGAGAUACCACUCUGGUAAUGUUAGAUUUCUAACUUUGUAUCAUUAUCUGGUCAAAGAACAGUUUCAGGCGGGCAGUUUGACUGGGGCGGUCGCCUCCUAAAGGGUAACGGAGGCGCACAAAGGUUUCCUCUGAACGGGUAGAAAUCGUAUCUAGAGUGUAAAGGCAUAAGGAAGCUUGACUGUGAGACCUACAAGUCGAACAGGGACGAAAGUCGGUCUUAGUGAUCUGACGGUGCUGAGUGGAAAGGCCGUCACUCAACGGAUAAAAGUUACUCUAAGGAUAACAGGCUGAUCUCCCCCAAGAGUUCACAUCGACGGGGAGGUUUGGCACCUCGAUGUCGGCUCAUCGCAUCCUGGGGCGGUAGUACGUCCCAAAGGGUUGGGCUGUUCGCCCAUGAAAGCGGUACGCGAGCUGGGUUCAGAACGUCGUGAGACAGUUCGGUCCAUAUCCGGUGUAGGCGUUAGAAUAUUGAGAGGAGCCUUCUUUAGUACGAGAGGACCGAGAAGGACAUACCUCUGGUGUACCAGUUAUCGUGCCAACGGUAAAUGCUGGGUAGCUAUGUAUGGAGUGGAUAACCGCUGAAAGCAUCUAAGUGGGAAGCCCACCUCAAGAUAAGUAUUCUCAUCACGUAAGUGAAUAAGGUCACGGUAAGACUAACCGUUUGAUAGGCAUUAAGUGUAAAUCUAGUAAUAGGUGUGCUAAGAUGUACUAACAGACCGAAGACUUG
RNAcentral lists this ribosomal RNA (1347 nucleotides) under metagenome. RNAcentral describes it as "bacterial LSU rRNA". It matches the Rfam family "Bacterial large subunit ribosomal RNA", at positions 1564 to 2925 of the family's 2925-position model. The record is from RNAcentral.